UACGAGGGGGGCGAGCGUUGUUCGGAAUUAUUGGGCGUAAAGGGCGCGUAGGCGGUGCGGUAAGUCACCUGUGAAACCUCUGGGCUUAACUCAGAGCCUGCAGGCGAAACUGCCGUGCUGGAGUGUGGGAGAGGUGCGUGGAAUUCCCGGUGUAGCGGUGAAAUGCGUAGAUAUUCGGAAGAACACCAGUGGCGAAGGCGGCUCACUGGACCGUUGUUGACGCUGAGGUGCGAAAGCGUGGGGAGCAAACAGG
RNAcentral lists this ribosomal RNA (253 nucleotides) under uncultured bacterium. Its description in RNAcentral is "partial 16S ribosomal RNA". It matches the Rfam family "Bacterial small subunit ribosomal RNA", at positions 524 to 776 of the family's 1533-position model. The record is from RNAcentral.